This 337-nucleotide unclassified non-coding RNA is filed under the name soil metagenome. Its description in RNAcentral is "partial contains 5.8S ribosomal RNA, internal transcribed spacer 2, and large subunit ribosomal RNA". The stretch from base 1 to 120 matches the Rfam family "5.8S ribosomal RNA", at positions 35 to 154 of the family's 154-position model. The record is from RNAcentral.
GAUGAAGAACGUAGCGAAAUGCGAUAAGUAAUGUGAAUUGCAGAAUUCAGUGAAUCAUCGAAUCUUUGACCGCACAUUGCGCCCGCCAGUAUUCUGGCGGGCAUGCCUGUUCGAGCGUCAUUUCAACCAUCAAGCCCCCGGGCUUGUGUUGGGGACCUGCGGCUGCCGCAGGCCCUGAAAAGCAGUGGCGGGCUCGCUGUCACACCGAGCGUAGUAGAUUUUAUCUCGCUCAGGGCGUGCUGCGGGUUCCGGCCGUUAAACCACCUUCAUAACCCAAGGUUGACCUCGGAUCAGGUAGGAAGACCCGCUGAACUUAAGCAUAUCAAUAAGCGGAGGA